UCAUGACCUGAGCUGAAGUUGGAGGCUUACCGGACUGAACCACCCAGGUGCCCCUAAAUGUCGGUUUUUCUACAUGAACUUCUGUAUUUUAAGUAAUGGUGCCCCCAUCAUUCGGUUCCAGCAGGACUGCUCAGCCUGUGCCUUGAUAGUGGCCAGGAAAGUCCAGGACCUCCAAAUGCAGCAUGCAGAGACAGUGGGUGAUGCAAAAUGAGGCCCUUUCUCAGAAAAUAAUUCAACCCGAAAAAGUAAGAGAUAUCUUGCAUUGAAUGUGGAAGAUUUCCCGGCCAGAAAUGAGAGGAAAGGGUUUCUAGCUGCUCCAGUAGAGAUGUUACUCUUCCUGUCCAGCAACCAAGGGCCGCUAUGGCAGAGGCGUGUGGUCCUGUUUGCUUUUCUUAUGUCGGUCUACGGGGCUGCGGGCACCAGCAAGAGGCUGUAUUCUCACCCUGGGGCUGGCUCUCAGUGAGAGAGGCACUGAGCCCCUGCAAGGUGACUCCUUCUUCCAGACACUGCAUCUUGGCCUGGUUUGGCUUUGCCCUCCCAUGUACGUUCAUGUCACAUAUUUCCAGAUUUUUUCCAGAGGCAGCAAGGCAAAGCUCUUCCUGCUAAAACAUGAAGGGAGGGGCCUUGCUGUAUGAGAGCUAGUAACCAUGAGGAAAAGGUUUUUGCUUUAUAAUUUUAUUCAAAAAGAAACAAAAGACACCCCAAACAAAAACAACCAUACAUGUUGCACACAAAACUGCAAAAAAAUACUUUUUAUAGGAUUAAGUCCUAAUUCCUGUAUCAGAUGUGAGUUGGUGUUUCAACAACAGCUAAUUCAAGGGAGGUUCAAGGCCGUACAAAAGGGAGCCUUCGUAUUUUAGCACAGCCGCGAAAAUACACAUUUGCCUGUGAGCGCUCAGGAAACAAAGUCCAAUCUGAAAGAAAUUAGUCUCAUGAUAUUUCAGGCAGGAAGUUUAAAAUAAACGUUAACUAUUGUCUUCUUCUUCCUUUUCAGAUUGGUUUUCCCUCCAAACUGUGCUUUGAAUUCUGUUAUCUCCAAGGUUGGAGCUGGAGCGGGAGUUGGGAUUACACAAAGUGUGGAGGAAGGCACAACUUUUUAGCUGGUGGAUACGGUAUCAGCUCUGUGGGCUCAAUAGAAUUCUCAAGGCCUUGGUUUUCAACCAAGUGGAACAGAUUUCUUUCUUUACUGCAGGACUGCACUCAGUCUUACUAUAUUAAUGCACAGUGUGAACUGCCUAAUGGGAAGAUUGCUGGGACUAUAAUUUUGACUUGACCGGAACUCUUAUCUCAUGGUCAAGAUUGCAAGACUAGGAUUCCAGUGAGAACAUUUUAGCAAAUGCUGGCCUGAGUAUAUGGUCAAGUACACACUCUUUUGUGGAGCAUUAAUCUGUUUGCAACCAACUCAUUCAGUCUUACUUCCCGUUGGUCCCUAUUCCCAAGAGAAAUAUUUUUGAGGUAUCAGUUAUUCCACCUCCAAGCCUUUGCUCAUGCCAUUCUACCUGCUUGAAAUGCCUUCCCCCCUUCCCUUCUUCUCUGAACUCACCCAGCUUUGCCCAUCUGGCUCACGCCCACAGGGAGCUUUUCCUGCCCACAGUGAUCUUUCUCAGACCUCCCGAUGACUGGGCCACUCAUGGGGACUCUUGAUCACAUCCCGCCUAGCUUUUUUCUAUAUUUUCCCCAAAGUUGCUCUGCUCUGCUUUUGUAAUGGGAUAGUUAGUGGAAGGCUCUGAUAUCCUAGACUUUUUAAAAAGUCCCCUGAUGCAUUGAGUUGUGUGCAUAGCUCCUGCUUAUAAACCCCUGUUGAAUUCAGCUAAAGUAAAUUAAUAGCCAUUUAUAUCAGCUCACUUAAAUGUUAACUCUCCACUUAUCCAGGCACCAAGAACAAAGGUCGGAAAGAGAAGUUUGUUCACAGUUCCUGACUGAACGGGGAGAAGACAUUUAAUGGAAACAUGAACCUCAUGCCUGGGUCUCCUGGAACUUGUAGCUGAACCUAGGAGUUUGUGGCCAAGCCUACCAACCACAUCCCCCAACGAUUUCUUCUCUUUUGGCACGUUGGUCUUGGAGUUGGGAGAGGAGAGCACCCAGUCCAUUCUUAUCUUUAAAGAGAGAAGAAACAGCGAAGUCUGUGACAUUCAGGUUUCUGUGCCCUCUCUCCUCUCGCUGGUCAUCUUGCCCAGCUCAGCAGACUGUGCAUACCCAGCUCACUAGCCAGAGAACUGGCUAGCUGAGGCAGCUGGUGAGUCAGGAAUGUGCUCAAGUGUGGUUGUCAAGAGUGGUACAGCCGAUCUCCCACAUCUUAGCCUUUUCUGAGCACCUGAGCCCUGCGGUAGCAUCAGACUGGGCGGCACAAACGGGCGUGCAGCCAGGAAUCAGUCGGUGGGAACACGACAUGCGCAGUUCUGCGGUGACCACACCCUGUAGCUUUCUGUCCUUUGUCCUCUCAGCAUACAUAGAUGGAGCAUCUACUAUAUAUCGGGCACUAGGGAUUCUUGGGGGAUACAGGUAUGAAUGUAACAUGAUCCUUGACCCAAGGAACUUCUAGUUUUCAUGGGAGACAAGCAUAUAAAUAAAACCUUCCAACAGACCCCUAGAUGUAAGCCAUAAUUCCUAGCCUGUGCUACUGACGGUGGUAGGAGUUGGGAUAGAGAUCCUACUAGAAGUCACAGAUUUGCAUUGCUCUGACUCCCACCCACAGAAGUCUAAGAGUUUCUAGGGUCUUCCAUAAGGUUAUGAAGACCUCUUGGCUGCCACAGUGCAACACAGGUCUUCUUCCUCUGUCUGCCCAUGCUCACUGUGGUCAGCAGUCCUGGAUCCGGUGACAUGUAGAUAUGAAUGCCCGCCCAAGGCACCCUGCACUGCAGAUACUGGCUGAAGGCACUAUAUACAUGUCUCCUCCCACUUCUGUGACAGGAGACAUGCCAACCACUAUGGCCAACUGCCCAAGCCCCCAUGACGAUUCUUUACUCAAACCUGUUUCAACAGUAACUUCAAGUGGGCCUGAGUCCUCUUCACCCCAACUUGAACUCCAUUCUGUUAACAACACUCCAGAGCUGUACUUCUUAAUGUAUAAGUCAAACUACAGUGGCAUUUGGGCUGCCCUAGUGCCUGCAACACUCCUGAACAUUGGAAACAGGCAUCGACUUCCUCCAGGUGGACGCAGCCCCAUGCAAGUGCGCAUGGCUCGACCACUGUCCUGCUGUCUUCAUGGCUUGUGGCCAGGGGAAGCUCAUCCCUACUGCCAGAAAUCCCUGGGGCACCUCCAUCCUCAAACUCAGCCCAAACCGAGCCAUGGCUUCAGAGAGGAGGAAGUUGUAUCCCUUCAUCUCAAUCCCAGGUCCUUAUUUCCUGUCCCAGAAUUUAUUUUUUGCCAGGAUGAUUAACAGUUGGAAUGUUACACCCUUUAGGAGAACCACACCCCCACCUACAAGAGGACUCGUCUGGCUAACAGGUUGACCACACAAAGAAGUGACGUCAAUAUAUUUUUUAAAGUUUGGUUUCCAAAGGCUAGGGAUACAGGUUUACCUGUGGGCUUUUUGUGACAAAACACUUAACAGAGAUCUCAGUGAAACGAGACCGUAAGUUGUUAAUGACUAUAGUCUCGACAGAACCCAUGAGGACUGAGCUACAGGAGAUCUUCAGACAGAGCUAAUAUAGCUCCUGUAUGUUCCAAAUGGGAAAUGAUGGGCAAAUUCUUAGGGCUCAAAAGAAGUGACUUUUGGUUCGAUGAAAUUAUGUAUUACUUCAUAUAGCGGAUGGUAGACUUGGGGGACUUUGGCAGGUGAACAAUGUUGGGUAAGAAAGGGCUAUGUGUAAAAAAUAAGCAACCUCUGAAUACAUACACAAACCCUUUUUUUUUUUUUUUUUUUUUUUUUUGCUACUCUCAAGGAUUCCUGAGAUGCUUUGGUGGAAUAGAAACUUCAAAGUGAUGCCAAGCAAGGUCCUAUAGUUUCUCGGGUGACCUGUUGUACAACCGUGCUAGAAAACUUCAAGUCUGUUAUUCAGAGAACUGAUAGACAGCCUGUCUUUGGAAGCAAAGACCUGGGUCUGAAUCUGGACUCAGCCACUUACUACCUCUGUGUUCUUGGUGAUAAAGGCAAUCCUAUUUUUUCCCCCUUUUCUUUAAAAAAUUUUUUUUUAAUGUUUAUUUAUUUUUGAGAGAGACAGAGACCGGGUGUGAGCAGGGGAGGGACAGAAAGAGAGGGAGACACAGAAUCCAAAGCA
Molecule: long non-coding RNA, 4221 nt
Organism: Prionailurus viverrinus (fishing cat)
Lineage: Eukaryota; Metazoa; Chordata; Mammalia; Carnivora; Felidae
Exons: 3
Source: RefSeq, a predicted model, not a curated record